RNAcentral lists this transfer RNA (73 nucleotides) under Cordylochernes scorpioides. RNAcentral describes it as "tRNA-Thr". Lineage: Eukaryota; Metazoa; Arthropoda; Arachnida; Pseudoscorpiones; Chernetidae. The record is from RNAcentral.
AUCUAGGGAUGGGAAUCGAACCCAUAGUGUUCCGUUUACCGGGCAGAUGCCAUGUCCACUAGGCUACCCUGGA